Molecule: transfer RNA, 73 nt
Filed under: Stegodyphus mimosarum
Lineage: Eukaryota; Metazoa; Arthropoda; Arachnida; Araneae; Eresidae
Rfam family: tRNA
About the family: Transfer RNA (tRNA) molecules are approximately 80 nucleotides in length. Their secondary structure includes four short double-helical elements and three loops (D, anti-codon, and T loops). Further hydrogen bonds mediate the characteristic L-shaped molecular structure. tRNAs have two regions of fundamental functional importance: the anti-codon, which is responsible for specific mRNA codon recognition, and the 3' end, to which the tRNAs corresponding amino acid is attached (by aminoacyl-tRNA synthetases). tRNAs cope with the degeneracy of the genetic code in two manners: having more than one tRNA (with a specific anti-codon) for a particular amino acid; and 'wobble' base-pairing, i.e. permitting non-standard base-pairing at the 3rd anti-codon position.
Source: Rfam by way of RNAcentral
GCUUUCGUGGUGUAGUGGUCAGCACACUCGGCACAAAUUCGAGAUAUCCGUGGUUCGAGUCCCGUCAAGGGCA